AGCUAAUACCGCAUAACGUCGCAAGACCAAAGAGGGGGACCUUAGGGCCUCUUGCCAUCGGAUGUGCCCAGAUGGGAUUAGCUAGUAGGUGGGGUAAAGGCUCACCUAGGCGACGAUCCCUAGCUGGUCUGAGAGGAUGACCAGCCACACUGGAACUGAGACACGGUCCAGACUCCUACGGGAGGCAGCAGUGGGGAAUAUUGCACAAUGGGCGCAAGCCUGAUGCAGCCAUGCCGCGUGUAUGAAGAAGGCCUUCGGGUUGUAAAGUACUUUCAGCGGGGAGGAAGGGAGUAAAGUUAAUACCUUUGCUCAUUGACGUUACCCGCAGAAGAAGCACCGGCUAACUCCGUGCCAGCAGCCGCGGUAAUACGGAGGGUGCAAGCGUUAAUCGGAAUUACUGGGCGUAAAGCGCACGCAGGCGGUUUGUUAAGUCAGAUGUGAAAUCCCCGGGCUCAACCUGGGAACUGCAUCUGAUACUGGCAAGCUUGAGUCUCGUAGAGGGGGGUAGAAUUCCAGGUGUAGCGGUGAAAUGCGUAGAGAUCUGGAGGAAUACCGGUGGCGAAGGCGGCCCCCUGGACGAAGACUGACGCUCAGGUGCGAAAGCGUGGGGAGCAAACAGGAUUAGAUACCCUGGUAGUCCACGCCGUAAACGAUGUCGACUUGGAGGUUGUGCCCUUGAGGCGUGGCUUCCGGAGCUAACGCGUUAAGUCGACCGCCUGGGGAGUACGGCCGCAAGGUUAAAACUCAAAUGAAUUGACGGGGGCCCGCACAAGCGGUGGAGCAUGUGGUUUAAUUCGAUGCAACGCGAAGAACCUUACCUGGUCUUGACAUCCACGGAAGUUUUCAGAGAUGAGAAUGUGCCUUCGGGAACCGUGAGACAGGUGCUGCAUGGCUGUCGUCAGCUCGUGUUGUGAAAUGUUGGGUUAAGUCCCGCAACGAGCGCAACCCUUAUCCUUUGUUGCCAGCGGUCCGGCCGGGAACUCAAAGGAGACUGCCAGUGAUAAACUGGAGGAAGGUGGGGAUGACGUCAAGUCAUCAUGGCCCUUACGACCAGGGCUACACACGUGCUACAAUGGCGCAUACAAAGAGAAGCGACCUCGCGAGAGCAAGCGGACCUCAUAAAGUGCGUCGUAGUCCGGAUUGGAGUCUGCAACUCGACUCCAUGAAGUCGGAAUCGCUAGUAAUCGUGGAUCAGAAUGCCACGGUGAAUACGUUCCCGGGCCUUGUACACACCGCCCGUCACACCAUGGGAGUGGGUUGCAAAAGAAGUAGGUAGCUUAACCUUCGGGAGGGCGCUUACCACUUUGUGAUUCAUGACUGGGGUGAAGUCGUAACAAGGUAACCGUAGGGGAACCUGCGGUUGGAUCACCUCCUUACCUUAAAGAAGC
Molecule: ribosomal RNA, 1388 nt
Filed under: Escherichia coli
Lineage: Bacteria; Pseudomonadati; Pseudomonadota; Gammaproteobacteria; Enterobacterales; Enterobacteriaceae
Description: bacterial SSU rRNA
Rfam family: Bacterial small subunit ribosomal RNA
Source: RNAcentral